RNAcentral lists this ribosomal RNA (113 nucleotides) under Candidatus Prevotella avicola. Lineage: Bacteria; Pseudomonadati; Bacteroidota; Bacteroidia; Bacteroidales; Prevotellaceae. The record is from RNAcentral.
CAUGGUGGCUAUGGCGGUGGUGCCCCACCUCUUCCCAUCCCGAACAGAGAAGUUAAGCCCACCCGCGCCGAUGGUACUGCGCCGCAAUGCGGGAGAGUAGGUAGCCGCCCCCU